Non-coding RNA from Arachis ipaensis, 414 nucleotides. NCBI's taxonomy places the organism in Eukaryota, Viridiplantae, Streptophyta, Magnoliopsida, Fabales, Fabaceae. The record is from RefSeq and is a predicted model, not a curated record.
GAGAAAAUUAAAUAGAAGAAAAGCAUAGCUUAACGAAAAGCUUUUGAAGAUGCAUAUACUCACAAUCAUGUUCUUACAUACUUUUGGUUGUUGUGCUUGCAGAAGGACAUAUAAAAUUGGAGGUUGUGAUUUAAGCAGCACUGCUCCUCCUUGUACCAGGUGGAUUGAAAUGAUGGCUCCUGGAUUAGGAAUAUGUAAUUCAAGGAUUGUAGCUUGCUUAGAAUCUUCGUUAGCUUGGGUACUAGUAGUGUUUUUUUGUUUCAGUAAAAACUAGUGGUCUCUUUUGUAACUUCCUACUGAUUCUAAAAUUUUUUCUCUUAUGUAAUAAUAUGUAAAGGAAGUAGAUAAUGUAAUAGUUGUUGUAAUGAUUUUGAUUUUUGGUAUUUUGUUAGAGCAUGUCAUGUGAUCAAUCAC